Molecule: long non-coding RNA, 463 nt
Organism: Rhipicephalus microplus (southern cattle tick)
Lineage: Eukaryota; Metazoa; Arthropoda; Arachnida; Ixodida; Ixodidae
Source: RefSeq, a predicted model, not a curated record
UUUACAACGCAGCGUAUAUGGACAUACAACACGAGUACAAGCGACUACAUUCUAUGUAAGGUGGACCAAGCGAAAUAUUUUACUGACACGUCUAUUUUCUUCACACGGACUUAUUUUUAUGAUGAGCAACAUCAUUGGAUAGCGAAGAACCUCGAGGCAUUAUUUUCGAAGCAGCAGAAAGAUGUCAUGCGUGUGCGCAACAAAGAAGGCACGUUUAUUUCCAAGGAGAAGAUGGUAUAUAUGAACAAGCACUCCCUCUGCGCCGUAAUACAGGUUUCGCAAGAACGAUUCGGUUGGCAACCCUACUUCGACUUGCGGCUUUGGGAUGCGCUGGUGAAGCAAGGACCUCACCCUAAAUGCGUGGAACAGUUCGCGAAGUAUGCCCCUAGAGGAAAAGUUAUAUAUGGGCCGCUGUGUAACAACAUCCUGCAUAUUAAGUGAUAUAUGCACUUUAGCUGUGGUC